Molecule: ribosomal RNA, 497 nt
Filed under: uncultured bacterium
Lineage: Bacteria
Description: partial 16S ribosomal RNA
Rfam family: Bacterial small subunit ribosomal RNA
Source: RNAcentral
GAUGAACGCUGGCGGCGUGCCUAAUACAUGCAAGUCGAGCGAACAGAUGAGGAGCUUGCUCCUCUGACGUUAGCGGCGGACGGGUGAGUAACACGUGGAUAACCUACCUAUAAGACUGGGAUAACUUCGGGAAACCGGAGCUAAUACCGGAUAAUAUAUUGAACCGCAUGGUUCAAUAGUGAAAGACGGUUUUGCUGUCACUUAUAGAUGGAUCCGCGCCGCAUUAGCUAGUUGGUAAGGUAACGGCUUACCAAGGCAACGAUGCGUAGCCGACCUGAGAGGGUGAUCGGCCACACUGGAACUGAGACACGGUCCAGACUCCUACGGGAGGCAGCAGUAGGGAAUCUUCCGCAAUGGGCGAAAGCCUGACGGAGCAACGCCGCGUCAGUGAUGAAGGUCUUCGGAUCGUAAAACUCUGUUAUUAGGGAAGAACAAAUGUGUAAGUAACUAUGCACGUCUUGACGGUACCUAAUCAGAAAGCCACGGCUAACUACGUG